RNAcentral lists this ribosomal RNA (497 nucleotides) under uncultured bacterium. RNAcentral describes it as "partial 16S ribosomal RNA". It matches the Rfam family "Bacterial small subunit ribosomal RNA", at positions 28 to 507 of the family's 1533-position model. The record is from RNAcentral.
GAUGAACGCUGGCGGCGUGCCUAAUACAUGCAAGUCGAGCGAACGGACGAGAAGCUUGCUUCUCUGAUGUUAGCGGCGGACGGGUGAGUAACACGUGGAUAACCUACCUAUAAGACUGGGAUAACUUCGGGAAACCGGAGCUAAUACCGGAUGAUAUUUUGAACCGCAUGGUUCAAAAGUGAAAGACGGUCUUGCUGUCACUUAUAGAUGGAUCCGCGCUGCAUUAGCUAGUUGGUAAGGUAACGGCUUACCAAGGCAACGAUGCAUAGCCGACCUGAGAGGGUGAUCGGCCACACUGGAACUGAGACACGGUCCAGACUCCUACGGGAGGCAGCAGUAGGGAAUCUUCCGCAAUGGGCGAAAGCCUGACGGGGCAACGCCGCGUGAGUGGUGAAGGUCUUCGGAUCGUAAAACUCUGUUAUUAGGGAAGAACAUAUGUGUAAGUAACUGUGCACAUCUUGACGGUACCUAAUCAGAAAGCCACGGCUAACUACGUG